UGGUUCAAGGGUAGAACAUCUGCCUAGCAGGCACAAGGCCCUGAGUUCAAACCUCAG
RNAcentral lists this transfer RNA (57 nucleotides) under Dipodomys ordii (Ord's kangaroo rat). It matches the Rfam family "tRNA", at positions 8 to 63 of the family's 71-position model. From Rfam's summary of the family: Transfer RNA (tRNA) molecules are approximately 80 nucleotides in length. Their secondary structure includes four short double-helical elements and three loops (D, anti-codon, and T loops). Lineage: Eukaryota; Metazoa; Chordata; Mammalia; Rodentia; Heteromyidae. The record is from Rfam by way of RNAcentral.